This 468-nucleotide ribosomal RNA is filed under the name uncultured bacterium. RNAcentral describes it as "partial 16S ribosomal RNA". It matches the Rfam family "Bacterial small subunit ribosomal RNA", at positions 28 to 507 of the family's 1533-position model. The record is from RNAcentral.
GACGAACGCUGGCGGCGUGCUUAACACAUGCAAGUCGAACGGAAAGGCCCUGCUUUUGUGGGGUGCUCGAGUGGCGCACGGGUGAGUAACACGUGAGUAACCUGCCCUUGACUUUGGGAUAACUUCAGGAAACUGGGGCUAAUACCGGAUAGGAGCUCCUGCUGCAUGGUGGGGGUUGGAAAGUUUCGGCGGUUGGGGAUGGACUCGCGGCUUAUAAGCUUGUUGGUGGGGUAGUGGCCUACCAAGGCUUUGACGGGUAGCCGGCCUGAGAGGGUGACCGGCCACAUUGGGACUGAGAUACGGCCCAGACUCCUACGGGAGGCAGCAGUGGGGAAUAUUGCACAAUGGGCGGAAGCCUGAUGCAGCAACGCCGCGUGCGGGAUGACGGCCUUCGGGUUGUAAACCGCUUUCGCCUGUGACGAAGCGUGAGUGACGGUAAUGGGUAAAGAAGCACCGGCUAACUACGUG